Molecule: non-coding RNA, 95 nt
Organism: Nicotiana sylvestris (wood tobacco)
Lineage: Eukaryota; Viridiplantae; Streptophyta; Magnoliopsida; Solanales; Solanaceae
Source: Rfam
UGGUAUUCAACUGUAUCCGACUGUAUUCACGGCUGAAAUAAGGGAUUAUACUGUUUUUAAAAUGGAAAGUGAAUCAAUUAACAUAUUAGACUCCU